Molecule: long non-coding RNA, 218 nt
Organism: Pan troglodytes (chimpanzee)
Lineage: Eukaryota; Metazoa; Chordata; Mammalia; Primates; Hominidae
Exons: 2
Source: RefSeq, a predicted model, not a curated record
AGUUGUUGUGGAGAUGAAAGAAGAUAACAUAAAAACAGAAAAAUGGUGAAGAGCACAGAUUCCACAGCCUAAUGUCCUGGGUUUAAAUUCCUACUCUACCAUUUACCAGUUUUAUGUUAUGAACAUCAGGUGGUAGCCACAACGAAGAAAUACAUUUUCUGGCAGCUGUGAAUGUUAUCCUUCCCUAAAGAAAUUAAACCAUCUCGGUAUUUUUCCAA